CAGGUGGAUCACUGGCCUGCAGAGGGUGCUCUGGAGCUGGAACCAAGCUAAUUCCUGAAGUCUCCAGCAGGAGGCACUGCAGGGAGUCUGGUUCUUCUGCUGGGCUGUAAUAAAAACCUUCUUCAGCUCUCUGGGGUCAAAGCAGGUGCCAACUCUAGUGCUGACAGAUCUGUUCUUGUUACCUUGCUUUCUGGAUUGAUGCCCAGCAUUUCUCUGUAUCAGCCAGAUCCUCCUUUAAAACUUGGUGGGGAACCUGAGAUACAGAGAUGUGAACUGAUGUGCCCAAG
Molecule: long non-coding RNA, 287 nt
Organism: Gopherus evgoodei (Goodes thornscrub tortoise)
Lineage: Eukaryota; Metazoa; Chordata; Testudines; Testudinidae
Exons: 3
Source: RefSeq, a predicted model, not a curated record